GCCCAGAUGGCGGAACUGGUAUACGCGCAUGCCUUAGGAGCAUGUGCCGCAAGGCGUGCAGGUUCGACCCCUGUUCUGGGCACCA
RNAcentral lists this transfer RNA (85 nucleotides) under Candidatus Saccharimonadota bacterium. RNAcentral describes it as "tRNA-Leu". It matches the Rfam family "tRNA". From Rfam's summary of the family: Transfer RNA (tRNA) molecules are approximately 80 nucleotides in length. Their secondary structure includes four short double-helical elements and three loops (D, anti-codon, and T loops). Lineage: Bacteria; Candidatus Saccharimonadota. The record is from RNAcentral.